This 407-nucleotide ribosomal RNA is filed under the name uncultured bacterium. Its description in RNAcentral is "bacterial SSU rRNA". It matches the Rfam family "Bacterial small subunit ribosomal RNA", at positions 355 to 776 of the family's 1533-position model. The record is from RNAcentral.
UCGAGAAUUUUCCACAAUGGGCGAAAGCCUGAUGGAGCGACACCGCGUGCAGGAAGAAGUCCUUCGGGAUGUAAACUGCUUUUAUGGGGGAGGAAAUUAUUGACGUUACCCCAAGAAUAAGAGGUUGCUAAGCUCGUGCCAGCAGCAGCGGUAAUACGAGUGCCUCAAGCGUUAUCCGGAAUUAUUGGGCGUAAAGGGUGCGUAGGUGGCUAUGUUAGUCUUCUGUUAAAUCUCCUGGCUUAACCAGGAAUCUGCAGAGGAAACGGCAUAGCUUGAGGAUGCGAGAGGUAUAUGGAACUCUAGGUGUAGCGGUGAAAUGCGUUGAUAUCUAGGGGAACGCCAAAUGCGAAGGCAGUAUACUGGAGCAUUCCUGACACUGAGGCACGAAAGCGUGGGUAGCGAAUGGG